GGGGUAGGUUUAGUACGUAGGCGCCAUGGAUGGCGAAUCGUGCAUGCUACUGGCACGGGCCUGUAGUAUCUACGAAGAUUCCCAUCUCC
Glossina brevipalpis is the source of this 89-nucleotide non-coding RNA. The record is from Rfam. Lineage: Eukaryota; Metazoa; Arthropoda; Insecta; Diptera; Glossinidae.